GAUGAACGCUGGCGGCGUGCCUAAUACAUGCAAGUCGAGCGAACAGACGAGGAGCUUGCUCCUCUGACGUUAGCGGCGGACGGGUGAGUAACACGUGGAUAACCUACCUAUAAGACUGGGAUAACUUCGGGAAACCGGCGCUAAUACCGGAUAAUAUAUUGAACCGCAUGGUUCAAUAGUGAAAGACGGUUUUGCUGUCACUUAUAGAUGGAUCCGCGCCGCAUUAGCUAGUUGGUAAGGUAACGGCUUACCAAGGCGACGAUGCGUAGCCGACCUGAGAGGGUGAUCGGCCACACUAGAACUGACACACGUACCAGACUCCUACGGGAGGCAGCAGUAGGGAAUCUUCCGCAAUGGGCGAAAGCCUGACGGAGCAACGCCGCGUGAGUGAUGAAGGUCUUCGGAUCGUAAAACGCUGUUAUUAGGGAAGAACAAAUGUGUAAGUAACGAUGCACGUCUUGACGGUACCUAAGCAGAAAGCCACGGCUAACUACGU
Molecule: ribosomal RNA, 496 nt
Filed under: uncultured bacterium
Lineage: Bacteria
Description: partial 16S ribosomal RNA
Rfam family: Bacterial small subunit ribosomal RNA
Source: RNAcentral